Long non-coding RNA from Oncorhynchus tshawytscha (Chinook salmon), 468 nucleotides. The record is from Ensembl. NCBI's taxonomy places the organism in Eukaryota, Metazoa, Chordata, Actinopteri, Salmoniformes, Salmonidae.
GUCUGGUCCAUUCCGAAGUAAUACAUUCAUAAAGUAAAAGUCUGGUCCAUUCCGAAGUAAAACAUUCAUAAAGUAAAGGUCUGGUCCAUUCCGAAGUAAAACAUUCAUAAAGUAAAGGUCUGGUCCAUUCCGAAGUAAAACAUUCAUAAAGUAAAGGUCUGGUCCAUUCCGAAGUAAAACAUUCAUAAAGUAAAGGUCUGGUCCAUUCCGAAGUAAUACAUUCGUAAAGUAAAGGUCUGGUCCAUUCCGAAGUAAUACAUUCGUAAAGUAAAGGUCUGGUCCAUUCCGAAGUAAAACAUUCAUAAAGUAAAGGUCUGGUCCAUUCCGAAGUAAUACAUUGAUAAAGUAAAGGUCUGGUCCAUUCCGAAGUAAAACAUUCAUAAAGUAAAGGUCUGGUCCAUUCCGAAGUAAUACAUUCGUAAAGUAAAGGUCUGGUCCAUUCCGAAGUAAUACAUUCGUAAAGUAAAG